RNAcentral lists this ribosomal RNA (655 nucleotides) under Tridacna sp. JHH-2013c. RNAcentral's name for it is "eukaryotic LSU rRNA". It matches the Rfam family "Eukaryotic large subunit ribosomal RNA", at positions 716 to 1315 of the family's 3401-position model. Lineage: Eukaryota; Metazoa; Mollusca; Bivalvia; Cardiida; Cardiidae. The record is from RNAcentral.
GCAAUGAAAGUGAAGAGGAGCCUCGCGCCCCUCCAGGCAGGAUCUGUCGUCCGUUUUGUGGGCGGCAGCGCACUGCCGGCCCGUCUCGGCCGCUUAUGACGGCGAGGCGGAGCAAGAGCGCACGCUCUGGGACCCGAAAGAUGGUGAACUAUGCCUGAGCAGGACGAAGUCAGGGGAAACUCUGAUGGAGGUCCGCAGCGAUUCUGACGUGCAAAUCGAUCGUCAAACUUGGGUAUAGGGGCGAAAGACUAAUCGAACCAUCUAGUAGCUGGUUCCUUCCGAAGUUUCCCUCAGGAUAGCUGGCACUAAUCUCGCUGCAGUUUUAUCCGGUACAGCGAAUGAUUAGAGGGAUUGGGGAUUUCUUGUCCUCAACCUAUUCUCAAACUUUAAAUGGGUAAGAAGCACGACUCGCCUGAAACAUUUUACUACGGAGUCGCUGCCUACUAUUGAAUGCAUGAGUGCCAAGUGGGCCAAUUUUGGUAAGCAGAACUGGCGCUGUGGGAUGAACCAAACGUCCGGUUAAGGCGCCCGAGGCGGACGCUCAUCAGACCCCAUAAAAGGUGUUGGUUGGUAUAGACAGCAGGACGGUGGCCAUGGAAGUCGGCAUUCGCUAAGGAGUGUGUAACAACUCACCUGCCGAAUCAACCGGCCCUGA